UUUUAUAUGGUGUAGUGGCACAAGGAGUUUUGAUCUCCUAGGUAUAGGAUUAAACCUUUUAUAGGUC
RNAcentral lists this transfer RNA (67 nucleotides) under Eualetes tulipa. RNAcentral's name for it is "tRNA-Gln". It matches the Rfam family "tRNA". From Rfam's summary of the family: Transfer RNA (tRNA) molecules are approximately 80 nucleotides in length. Their secondary structure includes four short double-helical elements and three loops (D, anti-codon, and T loops). Lineage: Eukaryota; Metazoa; Mollusca; Gastropoda; Littorinimorpha; Vermetidae. The record is from RNAcentral.